UACGUAGGGGGCGAGCGUUGUCCGGAUUUAUUGGGCGUAAAGCGUGCGUAGGCGGCUGCGCAAGUCGGUUGUGAAACCCCGGGGCUCAACCCCGGAACUGCAUCCGAUACUGCGUGGCUAGAGGUAGGUAGGGGAGAUCGGAAUUCCUGGUGUAGCGGUGAAAUGCGCAGAUAUCAGGAGGAACACCGGUGGCGAAGGCGGCUCACUGGCCCGGUACUGACGCUGAGGUGCGAAAGCGUGGGGAGCAAACAGG
This 253-nucleotide ribosomal RNA is filed under the name uncultured bacterium. RNAcentral describes it as "partial 16S ribosomal RNA". It matches the Rfam family "Bacterial small subunit ribosomal RNA", at positions 524 to 776 of the family's 1533-position model. The record is from RNAcentral.